AGAACGAACGCUGGCGGCAUGCCUAACACAUGCAAGUCGAACGCUUCCGGGGCUUCGGUCGCGGAGGAGUGGCGCACGGGUGAGUAGCGCGUGGGAACCUGCCCUGUUGUGGGGGAUAACCGAGGGAAACUUCGGCUAAUACCGCAUACGCCCCGGGACUUGGUCUUCGGAUUAGGUCUGGGGGGAAAGAUUGAUCGCAGCAGGAGGGGCCCGCGUCGGAUUAGCUGGUUGGUGGGGUAACGGCUCACCAAGGCGAUGAUCCGUAGCUGGUCUGAGAGGAUGAUCAGCCACACGGGGACUGAGGUACGGCCCCGACUCCUACGGGAGGCAGCAGCUAGGAAUCUUGGGAAUGGGCGAAAGCCUGACCCAGCAACGCUGCGUGGGCGAUGAAGGCCUUCGGGUCGUAAAGCCCUUUUGUAGGGGAAGAUUAUGACGGUACCUGCGAAUAAGCCACGGCUAACUACGUGCCAACAGCCGC
This 478-nucleotide ribosomal RNA is filed under the name uncultured bacterium. RNAcentral describes it as "SSU rRNA". It matches the Rfam family "Bacterial small subunit ribosomal RNA", at positions 26 to 518 of the family's 1533-position model. The record is from RNAcentral.